UACGUAGGGGGCAAGCGUUGUCCGGAUUUAUUGGGCGUAAAGAGCGUGUAGGCGGCUAGGUAGGUCCGUUGUGAAAACUCGAGGCUCAACCUCGAGACGUCGAUGGAAACCAUCUAGCUAGAGUCCGGAAGAGGAGAGUGGAAUUCCUGGUGUAGCGGUGAAAUGCGCAGAUAUCAGGAAGAACACCCGUGGCGAAGGCGGCUCUCUGGUACGUGACUGACGCUGAGACGCGAAAGCGUGGGGAGCAAACAGG
This 253-nucleotide ribosomal RNA is filed under the name uncultured bacterium. RNAcentral's name for it is "partial 16S ribosomal RNA". It matches the Rfam family "Bacterial small subunit ribosomal RNA", at positions 524 to 776 of the family's 1533-position model. RNAcentral also lists the same sequence under 1 other name. The record is from RNAcentral.